Ictalurus punctatus (channel catfish) is the source of this 610-nucleotide long non-coding RNA. Lineage: Eukaryota; Metazoa; Chordata; Actinopteri; Siluriformes; Ictaluridae. The record is from Ensembl.
AAUCAGUCUGAACAAUGCAGAAUCCACCGGAAUUAGUGUAGAAGGAUUGUAGUAUUUAUUCCACAAAGUGUUCGAAUGAAGUUCUGUCAGCAUAUAAAGUCCAGCUGUCAAUGGGAAACCAAUUAACCGACAAUGAGGAGGGCGAGAGAAGUAGGAUUAGGUACGAGAAGAGACAGCUUCAAAGGCCAGCACCCUGUGCGACGCCACAUAGGUGGUCUUCACAUAAUGACUGAUAACGUUUCCCCAUUUAGCCAAAUCAAUCUGCACUGUCACGUCCGUAAGCGCCAGCGUCAAAGUGGACUCCUUGUGUGGCCACAUUAGUGACUUUGCGCGAGAUUAGUCGAGGUAAUUAUCCGCUAAUCAUCAGGCUAAUGAAGCUGUGAGAGAGUCUCAAGCGUCUCCAAGACAUGACUCCGAGUGGUAGUUUAGAGGAAGAAGGAAGGAAAGAACAUAUUAAAAUAAAUUGAGAAAAUGUCAAGUGCCUGUCUCAGUCGACCAAAAAGCAUGCAGGGACUCAGGAGUUGAUGAUUUGCAGCCUCGGAGAGCUAUGGUUUAAGGCUUUGGUUAGCAUUCUGUCUCAUUUGAUGACUCAGCAUGUGGGAUGUGCUAG